This 468-nucleotide ribosomal RNA is filed under the name uncultured bacterium. Its description in RNAcentral is "partial 16S ribosomal RNA". It matches the Rfam family "Bacterial small subunit ribosomal RNA", at positions 28 to 507 of the family's 1533-position model. The record is from RNAcentral.
GACGAACGCUGGCGGCGUGCUUAACACAUGCAAGUCGAACGGAAAGGCCCUGCUUUUGUGGGGUGCUCGAGUGGCGAACGGGUGAGUAACACGUGAGUAACCUUCCCUUUACUUUGGGAUAACUUCAGGAAACUGGGGCUAAUACCGGAUAGGAGCUCCUGCUGCUUGGUGGGGGUUGGAAAGUUUCGGCGGUUGGGGAUGGACUCGCGGCUUAUCAGCUUGUUGGUGGGGUAGUGGCUUACCAAGGCUUUGACGGGUAGCCGGCCUGAGAGGGUGACCGGCCACAUUGGGACUGAGAUACGGCCCAGACUCCUACGGGAGGCAGCAGUGGGGAAUAUUGCACAAUGGGCGGAAGCCUGAUGCAGCAACGCCGCGUGCGGGAUGACGGCCUUCGGGUUGUAAACCGCUUUCGCCUGUGACGAAGCGUGAGUGACGGUAAUGGGUAAAGAAGCACCGGCUAACUACGUG